GCUUACGGCCAUACCAACCUGGCUAUGCCCGAUUUCGUCUGAUCUCGGAAGCUAAGCAGGUUUAGCCUCGUUAGUACAUGGAUGGGAGACUGCCUGGGAAUACCAGGUGCUUUAAUCU
This is a ribosomal RNA of Carassius auratus (goldfish), 118 nucleotides long. NCBI's taxonomy places the organism in Eukaryota, Metazoa, Chordata, Actinopteri, Cypriniformes, Cyprinidae. The record is from Ensembl.